UUCGCAAUGCCCGAAAGGGUGACGAAGCGACGCCGCGUGUGGGAAGAAGGCCUUCGGGUUGUAAACCACUGUUGGGAGUUAGGAAGUGUGGAGGUGUUAAUAGCGCUUUCACUUGACUAAAGCUCCAGAGGAAGCCACGGCUAACUCUGUGCCAGCAGCCGCGGUAAUACAGAGGCGGCAAGCGUUGUUCGGAAUUAUUGGGCGUAAAGAGCACGUAGGCGGCUCUGCAAGUCAGCUGUGAAAGCCUUCUGCUUAACGGAAGAACGGCAGUUGAAACUACAGGGCUUGAGUACGGGAGGGGAGAGUGGAACUUCUGGUGGAGCGGUGAAAUGCGUAGAUAUCAGAAGGAACGCCGGCGGCGAAAGCGGCUCUCUGGUCCGUAACUGACGCUGAGUGUGCGAAAGCUAGGGGAGCAAACGGGAUUAGAUACCCCGGUAGUCCUAGCCGUAAACGAUGGGCACUAAGUAGAG
RNAcentral lists this ribosomal RNA (470 nucleotides) under uncultured bacterium. RNAcentral's name for it is "bacterial SSU rRNA". It matches the Rfam family "Bacterial small subunit ribosomal RNA", at positions 365 to 825 of the family's 1533-position model. The record is from RNAcentral.